UGGUGGUUUUUAGCACACACAGCUUGCAGUAGUGCUGUCAACAAAAACAGUGGGUGGUGAUCCUGCCAGCUAAAAUGGUGCUUUAAUGGGGGUAAGGGAGAAAAGAACCGUUCUGCCCCCUCCCGUGGACCCCCUUCAAACAGUGGUUCACUUGGCCAUAUCCCAGUCCUGUUCCUGAAGAGCUCCCUGGUUCUUAACAAGGCCAUCUGGGCAAGGUAACCCCAAAGGCAAACCUUACAGCAGCUAGUAGACCUUCAAAGCAUGUCACACGAAGUAAGAUUGCUCCUCAGAUGCAAGCGGUCUCACCCUGAGCAAACUUAGACCACUUAGGCUAUAAUCAGGAAAUAUCAACGGAGGAAUUCUAAAACUAUCCUAGAGUGAAACACGGGCAAAUUGCUUUAAACUUUUCACUGAACAGAAGUUUCCAAGAUGUCUCAUCAAUGUUGGAGGUUAAUUCUGACAGGGGAGGGAAGAAAGGGACAUCCUUAAUGGCACCCUCUCCAAUCAUGGGAACAGAAGGCUAGGGGUCUUGAGGUCAAGAACUCUGCCUCCUGUUUGGAAGGGGAUUCAUUUUAAUGGUGACAGCAAGGAUUUCGGGUGGCAUAAAAUAUUAAGCUAUCACCAUCACUAAUGAGGCUGGGAAGCUAUACUUGGCUUUUGCCUCCUUGUAUCAAUUAGGAUUUGAUUCAUCAAAAAGGGCAGGAAAUCCAAAUGGCAGUGGGUUAAACAAGACCCCAGAAUAUUUCCUUCCCAAACAGAUGAAGUCUGUGUGAGUAGUCUAGGGUUGAUAUGGGAACUGUGCUCUAUAAUGUCCCCAGAGACGCUGAAUUCCCUCCAGCCUGUGAUUUCACAGUCUGAAGGGAUAGUCUAGAUCUGCACUGUUGGGACCGGGCCCCACCCAGCACAUUCACAGUCCAUGAAGGAGGAUGGAGGGGAGAUAAGGGCACUUCCCUCCCCUAAAGACAACUAAGGGGAAUUUGUGCACAGCAUUUCCACACAUAGCCACUGUGUGGAGUGGGGCCAUUCAAUUCAGAACUACUAGCCACAUGUGACUAUUUCAAUUGAGGGUCCAUGCCUGUAAGAGACCCUGGAGUCACAGAGGUUUUCAUGAUCUUCUCUCUGUCCCUUGAAGACGCAUAUACAGCCCCUAAUGCCUUUCCACCCCCCUUCUCACUCCCUUGCUAGAACAAGCUCUCCAUGGAAAUAGUCAUUAGACAUUCACCAGAAAUGUGGGGAGGGAGCCUUGCCCUACUGUCAAGGCUAUAAUGGGGUGAAAAGGCAGAGGGAAGAGGUGUUCUAGGUAUCCCAAGUUGGAACUCGGCACACUGUUUUACGCAAAGACCACAGUAUGUGGUGGUGAGAUUCUAUGAUUUAAAAUACUGCUCUGUGGACCCAUUUUAGGGUCUAAAGAAUGUAGUGAGCUGAUAAAAAUUUAUGUCUGAAAAUAUCUGAAUUAUGCCCUCGCUUUUGAAGCCUGUCAUCACUGAAUACAGAACUCUAGAUUGGCAGAAUUAUUUCAGGAUUUCAAAAAUAUCAUGUCACCGUCUUCUGGAUGCCACUGUUUCUGUUGAGAAAUCAACUCAAAUUCUUAUUGUUGCUUCUUUGAAGAUCUUAUGUCUUUCUUCCUCUGGCUGCUUCUAGCAUUUUCUCUUUGUCUUUGAUUUUCAGCAAUUUGACCUUGAUGCCCCUAGAUAUAGUGUCCCUUGUGUUUACCUUGUUGAGGUAAUUUCCCCCAAUCUUUAUGAGAUAUCUUUUACCAAUUUGGGAAAUUCCCAAGCAUCAUCUCUUCAGACGUUGCUUCUAUUCCAUUCUUCUUUCCGCUUUUUCUGGGCCUCUAGUUCCAUCUAAGUCAUAUGUAUCCACCACGUCCAUAUAUCUCUUAGGUUCUUUUCUGUAUCUUUUAUCUUUUGUCUCUCUUUUCAUCAGUCUGGCUAUUUUAUUCUGUCUUUUAACUACUUUUUCAUUCAUGUAUUUAAUCUACUGGGUUUUUAAUUUUAGCUAUUACCCUUUUCAACUUUAGAAUCUUGUGUAACUGAUGUCAGUUCUGAAACUUGUCUUUUAAUUCUUCUAACAUAUAAAAUCAUAGUUCUUUUAAAACACAUAUACCUCAACUCCUAUUUUGAUUUGAGAUACCCUGUAGAUCUGUUUCUACUGUCUUUAUUUGCUCUUGGUUUUCGGUCAUCGGUUUGCCAUCUCUUCAUAUGCCUGCUUAUCUCUGAUGGGCUUCUGACGGAAGAUAGGUUUGGGGUACUAGCCAUUCCAGACCACCUGGAUUAAGAUUAAGAUGACUUGAGCUGGGGCGCCUGGGUGGCUCAGUCGGUUAAGUGUCUGACUUUGGCUCACGUCACAAUCUUGCGGUUUGUGAGUUUGAGCCCUGCGUCCAGCACUGUGCUGACAGCUCAGAGCCUGGAGCCCGCUUCAGAUUCUGGGUCUCCCUCUCUCUCUGCCCGUCCUCAGCUCGCACUCUUUCUCAAAAAUAAAUAAGCAUUAAAAAACAUUUAAAACAAAAAGGUUUUGAGCUGGUCUACUUCCUACUCACCCUAACACCUAGGAUGUAGCUUUUGGGAUCUCAAAGCCUGGUGUAUUUACCUUUUCUUUGGCAGGCCCUAAGUUUCAAUCUAGUUGCCCUAUCCCAACUGUCAGUCUCCUAUAAGCUAUACUCUUUAAUAUCUAUUGUCAAUUACGAAAGCACAGCCUGAGAGUCUGUGACACUCAGUCUUGAGGAGAAAAGUGGCCCUAAAUGCUGGGCUCACAGAUCUAGGCCUCCUGAAUCAUACAACUACUCUUUAGCAGACCUUUGCUAAUGCCAAAAAGAUAGCUGUAUAUAUACAUAUAGUCGAGUUCUCUAAUUGUUCUUAGCAAAAGGGUUGGCCUAAAACAAUUUAGUUCUAUUGCCACUAACUUAUGGGGUGAUAAACUUUUAUUUCCAUCCUUACAACAACUAUAGAAAGUACUACUUAUUACUGGCAUUUUCUAUCAGAGAAGAUGAAUGUUUAAAUUUGAUAAUUUACCCAGGCUCAUCAGCUACCAAAAGACUAAGUCAGGAUUUGAGAACAGUUUAGUAGAACUUUAGAGCUGAGUCUCUCUCUCUUUUUUUUUUAUGAGUUUAUUUAUGAACUUAUAAAUAAACAGAGACCACGCACGAACAAGGAAGGGGCAGAAAGAGAGACACAGAAUCUGAAGCAGGCUCCAGGCUCUGAGCUUUCAGCACAGAGCCUGACACCGGGAUUGAACCCACCAACUGUGAGAUCAGAACCACAGCCAAAGCUGGAUGCUCAACUGACUGAGCCACCCAGCUGCCCCAUAGAGCUGAGUCUCUUAACCACUACUUAUUGUACUUUCUCUGAUUUGAUCCUUAAUAUGACUUAAGCAAUAAAGAAACUCAGAAAAUGGCAUGGUGGGGUUCUGAGCUAGCCUUCUGACUUCAAAAUCCCACCCUCCUGAUGCUCUUUCUACUGGAGUUCAGAAUCUAAAUACAUUGGGUUUUGUUGUUUUCCUAUGGCAAAGUAAAUUCGAACUUCAAACAAAUGACAUUUUGAGAUACCAUCACAUUUCAGUUGAAACUAAGGUACUGUCUAUGAUCAGAGCUAUCCUCAUAGUUUCUCUGGGAAAAUGUCUGGAGGUGGCCAAUACUGUUCUCAUUUUUUAGACAGAUAAACUGAGGACUGCGAAGAUAAAGACCCUAGUGAUUGGUUCAUUUAUCCAUUCAAAAAAUAUUGAAUUAGGGGCGCCUGGGUGGCUCAGUCUGUUAAGCAGCCGACUUCAGCUCAGGUCCUGAUCUAAUGCUCCGUGAGUUCAAGCCCUGCACUGGGCUCUGUGCUGACAGCUCAGAGCCUGGAGCCUGCUUCGGAUUCUGUGUCUCCUUCUCUCUCUGCCUGUCCCCCACUUACUCUCUCUCUCUCUCUCUCUCUCUCUCUCUCUCUCUCUCAAAAAUGAAUAAAGAUUAAAAAAAAUUAGAAAUUAAGUUGCACAGAUUUAUAUAGGAGAAGAUGUGCUUACUACCUGGAUACCAGUCACAAUGCUAUAUAUGAUUUUUCUGAUAUAAUUCUGAUGACAAUGCGGUGAAACCACUGAUCAUAUUCCCAUUUGACUGAUGAGAAAAGAGAGGGGCAAAAAUGUUAACCGACAUGUUCCUUAACUGUAAUCAUUAAAAUCUAGGUUGGAAUGAUUAGAGUCCAGGGCUUAGUUCUUAAGUGGUUCAGAGUAGAAAGGAAAAGAGUACAAAUAUCCAAUUCAGUAUUACCUCCUGUGUGACCACGAAUUGUCACUUAAGUAUUCCUUGCCUAAUUUUUAUCACCGACAACAAUGGGAAUUGUAAUACCUGUCUUAUCAAACAUACUACACCAUUGUGAAGAUAUCAUGGAAUAAUGCAUGUAAAAAAUGGUUUGGUGCAAUGCAUCAUACUACAUAAAUGACUGUAAAUAUUCUUAUAUUUAGCUCCAUUGCAUUUUUAUUUAUCUAUUUUUUAUUAUUUUAUUUUAGAGAGAGCGAGCAAGUUGGGGGAGAGGGACAGGAAGAGAGCGAGAGUGAGAGUGACACAGGACUCAGUCCCACGACCCUGGGAUCAUGACCUGAGCCAAAAUCAAGAGUCAGAAGCUCAACUGACUGAGCCACCCAGGUGCCCCUCCACUGCAUUUUUAAAUGGAAUCUUUGACAUCAGUCUAAGAAAUUCUUCUGUCCUAACUAAUGUCAUUGAGUUGUCAAUUUGUUCCUGAAUAUUUACUGAGUGAUCGCUGUGAGUACCAGAGUGGUAGAAAUAGAGACAAUAACAUGAUGAAUUUUGAAUAAUAUUAUAUUCAUAAAAUAAAAAGGGAAAGGCUGGCUAAAAUCCAGUGUUUAAACGAACUAGACAAACAGAACUCCUGCCUUAUUUAGGAGGUGGACAGGGCUUUCCCUCUAUAGGAUUAAAUGUGCAGCUGGCUAAUGUCAGUGAAUUUUCCCUUAAAUAUUUUGGACAUCAAACAAAAAGGGAAUUUAUACGUACUAUAAAUUAUUACAUACGUUUUGGUUUGUAAACUCGUUUAUAUAGAAAUGUAGGUUCCUCUUUUAAGUUGUAGAUUAAGAAUAUCCAUAGAAGCUAUCAAAAUUAAUAUACUUUUGUUUACAUAAAAGCAGGAAUACAUUAUUCAAUAGCUCUUAUUCUGGGCUUAGUGUGUUCUUAUCUGAGAGGCUUCGUGGGUAUUCUGAAAUAACUGUAAAAUUCAUCAAACAAAUGGCAAUGAUUACCAUGAAAUCAGGCUUCUGACUUAGAUUUUUCUGCAAUUAGGGAGAAAGCAUCACACUUGGAUUUAUGUUAUUUAGACUGACUGGGGAAAUCCUUUUCAAAGCCUAAGCUAGACUAUAUAUUUUCAAGAAUUACUCAGUAGAGCUUCUUUAAAAGGCUUUGUUUAAAAAAAUAAGUUAAAUCAGGUUUGAAAAAUCGGACCAUAUUUCUCUGCAGCUUUUGGGCUCAUAAAGGCCACAGUGUGGAUACCGGAUUCUGUUGCAAAGGAAUAAUUAGUCUAUUUGUUUUCCUGUACACUGUAAUCCUGGGUGCUGAGGUUUUUGUUUGAAGCAUUUAAAGGUGUCAGGAAACUGAAUUUGCGGGUGAAAAAAAGGCUCAAUUAGUCUGUAAAGCAUGUCCUUAUGAUGAAUAGAGGGGGAGUGAGGUGGAGUAAUUAUCAACUGUACUUUGGAUAGUCUUACGUAAAAGUGAAGUCCUGUAGUCUGCUCCCUAUUUCUCGUCCUGUUCCCUCAGUCCUUUCACACAGGUCUGUUUCCUCCCAUAGAACUUAGAUCUACAUAGUUGGCUUAUUUGUAAUGUUUAUGUUUCUACUUUGUUUCCCCUAUUAAAAUAUAUCCCAAAGGCCUAGAACAUUGCCUAGUAUGUAGUAGGUAAUAAUUCAAUAUUUUUAAAUGUUUUUUUAAUUUAUUAUUGAGAGAGACAAGAGAUAGAGCAUGAGCAUGGGAGGGGCAAAGAGAGGGAGAGACACCGAACCUGAAGCAGGCUCCAGGCUCUGAGCUGUCAGCACAGAGCCCGACGCAGGGCUUGAACUCAUGAACCGUGAGAUCAUGACCUGAGCCGAGUCAGACACCUAACUGACUUGAGUCACCCAGGCACCCCAUAUACAAAUUACUUUCUAAUUUUCAGGUUAAAUUUGUACUUUCAGCAGAAAUUAUUAACAGUUUUAUAAUUUUAAGCUUACCAUCAUCUAUCUCUAUUUUUUACACUCCCAUCUGAUAGAAUUCUACUUGGCAAUGAGAAAGAAUAAAAUCAUGCCAUUUGCAGCAACAUGGAUGGAACUGGAGGGUAUUGUGCUAAGUGAAAUAAGUCAGUCAGAGAAAGAUAUCAUAUGUUUUCACUCAUAUGUGGAUCUUGAGAAACUUAACAGAAGACCGUGGGGGAAGCGAAAGGAAAAAAAAAAUAGUUACAAAUAGAGAGGGAGGGAGGCAAACCACAAGAGAUUCUUAAAUACAGAGAACAAACUGAGGGUUGAUGGGGGUGGGGGAGAGGGGAAAGUGGGUGAUGGGCAUUGAGGAGGGCACCUGUUGGGAUGAGCACUGCGUGUUGUAUAUAGGCCAAUUUGACAAUAAAUUAUAUUUAAAAAAAAUUCAAUUAUGCCUCAGAGGCUUGUUCAGUGCUUAAACUCAGAUCUGCUACACAGAAUCCUAGGGUCUCCUUCAAACCAAAGCAGCUCUUUAUUUUUUUAAUAGUUGUUUUUUAAUUCAAGUAUAAUUAACAUGCAGUGUUAUAUUAGUUUCAGGUGUACAAUAAAAGGAUUCAACAAUUCUAUACAUCACUCGGUGCUCAUCAUGAUACAUGUACUUUUUUUUUUUUUUAGUCUUUAUUUAUUUUUGAGAGAAAGACAGAGUGUGAGCAGGGAAGGGGCAGGGAGAGGGAGACACAGAAUCCAAAGCAGGCUCCAGGCCCUUGAGCUGUUAGCACAGAGCCCUAUGCGGGGCUCGAACUCAGGAACCGUGAGAUCAUGACCUGAGCCGAAGUCAGAUGCUCAACAGACUGAGCCACCCAGGCGCCCCGACACAUGUAUUCCUCUUAAUUCCCAUCCUACCCCCUCCCCUCCGGUAACCAUCUGUUUGUUCUCUAUAUUUGAGUCUGUUUUCCAAAGCAGUUCUUUAAAAAAGAUCAAACUUUGUUUCCCAAAUAUGCAUCUUUUUACCCAUCUAAUCUCCUAAUACAGUAUCUUAAACACAAAUGAUGAGCAGAGAGUUGGGUGAAUGGAUGUGAAAGAGGUCUUCCAGUACCUCCAUCUGGACCUCAGUCUGUACUUUCUAACUGAUAAAGUUCUGUCCAGAUUAUCUCUUAACUCAGCAAAAGACCCUGCGGGCAAACAUCCCCUGAAGGGAACCUAUACUAACCCCUCCUGUAAUAGGGGCUGCUGAGCCAGCAGACCACGUGUAAUUGAUCUUAAGACAAGGACCGAUUUGACAGACCUUCACUCCCUACCUGCCUGUGCCCACCCACCUCUGUCCACAUUUCACUUAUAUAAAUCUGGAAGUACUUUCGGCACUUUGGAGACAGCCUUUGAGACGCUAGUCUGCUGCCUUCCUGAUGUUGGCCUCACUGAAAUAAAUUCCUUUCUUGUUCUACCACCACUCAUUUCUCUGCCUUUGGAUUUUGUCAGCAGCGAGUAGCUGAACUUGGUCUGUUUGGAACCCCACAGUCAGGUGCUCUUGCACCCCUGUGCCCCGGCUACAGAUGACCGAUGAAUGGAAAGACCCAUCACUGGACACGAAAAAUCCAGGCACUCAACCAUUUUACACAAUCAGUGGGAAAAUCCCAGGACCUUAGGCACCACAUAAGAACAUAAAUUCAAAGCCCAUUUUUACAUCCAUUUACCCACAAUUCUGAUGAUUUUUUGAAGUUGUUAGAAAUAUCCAACUUAUUUCUCACUCACUGCAACUUACAUUCUGCCAUUUUAAAUGUACAUGAUGCUUUAAAAAUGGACAGAUGAAAACUGUAUGUAGGAUUCACACUAUGCUAUCACGUAUCACCUUCUUCCAGAAACUUCCAAGUUGAUCACCUUUAGAUAUUGGAAAAUAUCCUUCCAUCGCUUCCCACACACCCAUAUCUGGUCUUCCUUCAAACUCUAGGAAGCUACAGCGGGGAAUAAUGUGUUAAUGACAUAAGUCAUCAGGCUGUAAAGGAUGUCAUGUUUUUUUUUUUAUAGAGCGGGGAAGAAUAGAAUGUGGCACAUCAGAAUAACAAUAGCUCUUGACAAAUGGGGGCACAGCCAUUCCAGUAAACAGGAACUUCCCUGCAGGAAAACUUCCUCCCCUGGGAUCUGUAAUUUGGCUGUUGCCUUUGAGAACUGAUGAAAGCAAUUACAGGACUGAGAGGCUGAUUUCCCCUGCAUCUGUUCAGGGGAAGCCAGGGAUAAGGUUUCAUUUAUACUAAAGGAAUUCACGGUUUCUUUCAAAGUAGAGCCCUGAAAGAUGAAACCAAUCUCAUCAGAGGCACAGGCACCUUGGUGAGAUGAAAACCCCUUAAGAUUUAGUUUCCCAGGCCUCAAAGGUCAAGCCACUUAUUAAGAGUUAUAACAUUCUGGUCAAAAAUGACCACCUUGAGCGCUUCACAGAAGCCAUACAGGAAACACAGAGCCAUUUUUGUGUGUUUUCAUUAACUGAAAGUAUUAGUGACCGACAAAUACAAUAUUUUAUUAAAAAGCACAAAGGAAAUGGUGCACGGCAGAAUUAAUUUCUUGCUGUCAGUGUUUUAAAAUGCUCUGGUCUGGGA
Molecule: long non-coding RNA, 8734 nt
Filed under: Lynx pardinus (Iberian lynx)
Lineage: Eukaryota; Metazoa; Chordata; Mammalia; Carnivora; Felidae
Source: RNAcentral